CUGGGUGUCCUUGAAGACAACAGAUGAAGGGUGUGGGAUAUGGGGGUCUUUGAUUGCUCAAUGGCAAUGGUGAGAGAGGGACAACACGUGGAUUCGAGAUGCGGAGGAUAGUGCACACUAGAGAUGAUAAGGAGGUUAUAGGGAUGUGAGUCUGACACAGGAGUUUGGGGUACUUAUCUUUUUCUAACCCAUGGUUGAAUUGGGGACCUGUGAUUGUGCUCUAGUCCAGUUUGAUUUAGUUCAACGGUUCAAGACGUUAGAUUGGAGGAUGUUUUAUGGUUUUGAUUAUAAAUAUUAUAAUAUAAUAUAGGUAUAAGAUAAUAGUUCUUCAUAUGCAAUAUGAGAUGCCGUUUGAGUUACUUGAGUCAAGUUGAAAUUUGAUGGGCAUUUGAGUGGAUUUGAUGAGUGAGUUAGAGCCUCAUACUGAAUCUUUUGUUUCUUGAGUCAAACCAUCGUAGCUAGUUCCAAGUUGAAUAAAAAGGUGCAAGGUUGACCUCAGGUUGACAAUCGAUAGUAAAAAUAUGUCAAUAAUUAUGAAAUGGAUUCUAAUUUGAUAUGCAUGAAUGUUAGGAUGUCUUCUCUUUUUUGCAAUGUGCCACAACCUUAACCGAUUGUGGUGAGAAAUGGGGAAAUUGUUUAAGAUCGUUUUCAUGAACAACUUGCUAUUGUGUGACCUUGAAGGUUGGUUAGGUCCUUGUCCAUAAAUGGCCCUCUACAACGUGAUCUGAUUAGAGUGACAAACAAGGUUGGCUAGGUCGUUGCUUAUAAGUGUCUUGCUAUCAUGGUCUCAAAUCCCAAUGGGUUUUCUCAUGAGACACCAAGAGGAGGUACCAUCUGGAGUGUCCGGACAAGAUUGUCCUAUCGUUAUCCCAGCAUCCUGAUCGGCUUAUCUUGGGACAUCUCCUAUCCUAGGCAUUGGAAUAGGACCAAACAAUAUGUCCUAUUCGACAAGCAAAUUGAGAUAGCCUUGUCUUACGUGAUUUAAAACCUUGCCUGCUACAACGUAACUCGAUUGUGGCGAGCAAGAGUUAUUUAUGAUUAGGAUUCUAAUCAUGGUAUUUCAUACCAUUUUGUACUAGUUUGUACUAAAAUUACCAUACUAUACCAUU
Molecule: long non-coding RNA, 1109 nt
Filed under: Elaeis guineensis (African oil palm)
Lineage: Eukaryota; Viridiplantae; Streptophyta; Magnoliopsida; Arecales; Arecaceae
Description: long non-coding RNA (EGUI_LNC077018)
Source: RNAcentral